GAUGAAGAACGUAGCGAAACGCGAUAGGUAAUGUGAAUUGCAGAAUUCCGUGAAUCAUCGAGUCUUUGAACGCACAUUGCGCCCCCUGGUAUUCCGGGGGGCAUGCCUGUCCGAGCGUCAUUGCUGCCCUCAAGCACGGCUUGUGUGUUGGGCCUCCGUCCUCCUCCCGGGGGACGGGCCCGAAAGGCAGCGGCGGCACCGCGUCCGGUCCUCGAGCGUAUGGGGCUUCGUCACCCGCUCUUGUAGGCCCGGCCGGCGCUUGCCGACACAUCAAUCUUUUUUCCAGGUUGACCUCGGAUCAGGUAGGGAUACCCGCUGAACUUAAGCAUAUCAAUAAGCGGAGGA
Molecule: unclassified non-coding RNA, 345 nt
Filed under: soil metagenome
Description: partial contains 5.8S ribosomal RNA, internal transcribed spacer 2, and large subunit ribosomal RNA
Rfam family: 5.8S ribosomal RNA (bases 1-120)
Source: RNAcentral